GGCUGGGUGGUGUAGUUGGUUAUCACAUCUGUCUAACAGUAGGAGUUGAAUAAGUUCCACUGGUGUGUGCACAGAAGGUCCCGAGUUCAAGUCUCGGCCGAGUCA
Non-coding RNA from Delitschia confertaspora ATCC 74209, 105 nucleotides. The record is from the annotation of a GenBank genome assembly. Lineage: Eukaryota; Fungi; Ascomycota; Dothideomycetes; Pleosporales; Delitschiaceae.